AGUGAACGCUGGCGGUAGGCCUAACACAUGCAAGUCGAACGGCAGCACAGUAAGAGCUUGCUCUUACGGGUGGCGAGUGGCGGACGGGUGAGGAAUACAUCGGAAUCUACUUUUUCGUGGGGGAUAACGUAGGGAAACUUACGCUAAUACCGCAUACGACCUACGGGUGAAAGCAGGGGAUCUUCGGACCUUGCGCGAUGAAUGAGCCGAUGUCGGAUUAGCUAGUUGGCGGGGUAAAGGCCCACCAAGGCGACGAUCCGUAGCUGGUCUGAGAGGAUGAUCAGCCACACUGGAACUGAGACACGGUCCAGACUCCUACGGGAGGCAGCAGUGGGGAAUAUUGGACAAUGGGCGCAAGCCUGAUCCAGCCAUACCGCGUGGGUGAAGAAGGCCUUCGGGUUGUAAGGCCCUUUUGUUGGGAAAGAAAAGCAGCAGGUUAAUACCCCGCUGUUCUGACGGUACCCAAAGAAUAAGCACCGGCUAACUUCGUG
Molecule: ribosomal RNA, 491 nt
Filed under: uncultured bacterium
Lineage: Bacteria
Description: partial 16S ribosomal RNA
Rfam family: Bacterial small subunit ribosomal RNA
Source: RNAcentral